Long non-coding RNA from Erpetoichthys calabaricus (reedfish), 298 nucleotides. RefSeq lists it as uncharacterized. The record is from RefSeq and is a predicted model, not a curated record. NCBI's taxonomy places the organism in Eukaryota, Metazoa, Chordata, Cladistia, Polypteriformes, Polypteridae. The transcript has 2 exons.
GUUAGGGUAUCACUGAUACAUCUGUUGCAGCGUACCAGGAUGGAGUCACCAACUUGAAGAGGCCAGAGAAGUGCAAUUUUGAUCUUCUCUUCAUUCUUCAUGCUGCAGUAAAAACAUAAGAUUGUCAGAGGAAGUUCAAAGGGUUUGAUGAAGAGGAAUGGAUAUCUGCAUGAGGGAGGGACACCCAAAGACACCUACAGUAUAUGGAAGUUAUGAAGCAACAGCGAGUGCACUAACGAGACCCGAGUACAAAACAUCUACAGAAGAGGAGACAUGACCGAAUAAAAAUGACACAGGA